This 73-nucleotide transfer RNA is filed under the name Anabaena cylindrica PCC 7122. RNAcentral describes it as "tRNA-Ala (GGC) (tRNA-Ala-GGC-1-1)". It matches the Rfam family "tRNA". From Rfam's summary of the family: Transfer RNA (tRNA) molecules are approximately 80 nucleotides in length. Their secondary structure includes four short double-helical elements and three loops (D, anti-codon, and T loops). RNAcentral also lists the same sequence under 9 other names. Lineage: Bacteria; Bacillati; Cyanobacteriota; Cyanophyceae; Nostocales; Nostocaceae. The record is from Rfam by way of RNAcentral.
GGGGUUAUAGCUCAGUUGGUAGAGCGCUUGAAUGGCAUUCAAGAGGUCAGGGGUUCGAUUCCCCUUAGCUCCA